UACGUAGGGUGCAAGCGUUGUCCGGAAUUAUUGGGCGUAAAGAGCUCGUAGGCGGUCUGUCGCGUCGGAUGUGAAAAACUCGGGGCUCAACCCCCGAGCCUGCAUUCGAUACGGGCAGACUAGAGUUCGGUAGGGGAGACUGGAAUUCCUGGUGUAGCGGUGAAAUGCGCAGAUAUCAGGAGGAACACCGGUGGCGAAGGCGGGUCUCUGGGCCGAUACUGACGCUGAGGAGCGAAAGCGUGGGGAGCAAACAGG
This 255-nucleotide ribosomal RNA is filed under the name uncultured bacterium. RNAcentral's name for it is "partial 16S ribosomal RNA". It matches the Rfam family "Bacterial small subunit ribosomal RNA", at positions 524 to 776 of the family's 1533-position model. The record is from RNAcentral.